GGUCAGGAUGAACGCUAGCUACAGGCUUAACACAUGCAAGUCGAGGGGCAGCAUGAGCUUAGCUUGCUAAGCUGAUGGCGACCGGCGCACGGGUGAGUAACGCGUAUCCAACCUUCCCCUUAGUAGGGCAUAGCCCGGUGAAAAUCGGAUUAAUACCCUAUGUUCUUCACAGCGGGCAUCUAACGUGAAGCAAAGGUUCACCGCUAAGGGGUGGGGAUGCGUCUGAUUAGGUAGUCGGCGGGGUAACGGCCCACCGAGCCAUCGAUCAGUAGGGGUUCUGGGAGGAAGGUCCCCCACAUUGGAACUGAGACACGGUCCAAACUCCUACGGGAGGCAGCAGUGAGGAAUAUUGGUCAAUGGUCGAGAGACUGAACCAGCCAAGUAGCGUGCAGGAUGACGGCCCUAUGGGUUGUAAACUGCUUUUAUGCGGGGAUAAAGUCACCCACGUGUGGGUGUUUGCAGGUACCGCAUGAAUAAGGACCGGCUAAUUCCGUGCCAGCCGCAGC
RNAcentral lists this ribosomal RNA (506 nucleotides) under uncultured bacterium. Its description in RNAcentral is "bacterial SSU rRNA". It matches the Rfam family "Bacterial small subunit ribosomal RNA", at positions 22 to 518 of the family's 1533-position model. The record is from RNAcentral.